This is a long non-coding RNA of Oncorhynchus tshawytscha (Chinook salmon), 1678 nucleotides long. The record is from Ensembl. NCBI's taxonomy places the organism in Eukaryota, Metazoa, Chordata, Actinopteri, Salmoniformes, Salmonidae.
GUCUUAUCCACCAGACAGGUCUUAUCCACCAGACAGGUCUUAUCCACCAGACAGGACUUAUCCACCAGACAGAUUUAACCCACCAGACAGGACUUAUCCACCAGACAGGUAUUAUCCACCAGACAGAUAUUAUCCACCAGACAGAUAUUAUCCACCAGACAGAUAUUAUCCACCAGACAGAUAUUAUUCACCAGACAGCUCUUAUUCACCCGACAGCUCUUAUCCACCAGACAGUUAAUAUCUACCAGACAGAUAUUAUUCACCAGACAGAUCUUAUCCACCAGACAGAUCUUAUCCACCAGACAGAUCUUAUCCACCAGACAGGUUUUAUUCACCACACAGCUCUUAUCCACCAGACAUAUCUUAUCCACCAGACAGGUCUUAUCCACCAGACAGAUAUUAUCCACCAGACGGGUAUAAUUCACCAGACAGCUCUUAUUCACCAGAGAGGUAUUAUUCACCAGACAGCUCUUAUUCACCAGACAGAUUUAUCCACCAGACAGGUGUUAUUCACCAGACAGGUAUUAUUAAUCAACAUCUUCCUUAACCCACACAUCUGAAUCAACAUCUUUAAUGGAUUGCAUUAUGAACCACUCCAUUGUUAGUGAGCUGAACCUUAUUCACCAGACAUAUAUUAUCCACCAGACAGAUCUUAUUCACCAGACAGGUCUUAUCCACCAGACAGAUAUUAUUCACCAGACAGGUCUUAUCCACCAGACAGAUAUUAUUCACCAGACAGUUAUUAUCCACCAGACAGCUCUUAUUCACCACCACCAGACAAAUGUGAUGUAACAUGUUGUUUUCCAAAAAAAAUGAUCUUUACCAACUUUGUUGAAUGAGUCAUCCUGUUUUUCCUCCACUCCUCCAUCUCUUUCUCUCUCCUUAUGUUUUCUUUUUGUUCUCUCACUUUCUCAAUCACUCUUUCUGCACCCGUCUGUCCACCUUGAUAAGUCUUUCAGAGUAUUCGUGUGUGAGUGUGUGUGUGUAAGAAAGGCAUAGCGAGAGAGACAGAGAAAGGGUGGGUGACAGUGCUCCAUCUCCCUGUGUGCCAGAGCAGCAGAGUGGCAGGUUGCCUAGCCGUGGGGCCUCUAAUGAAGAGAGUCUGUGUGCUUUAUCGAUUGACUCAGUCACCUGAUGCGUGGCUGGGCCCGUUAAUGGCCUAAUGGGAUGACACACUGAGAGAGGAAAUACCAAGGGGAGCACCAGGUGUGUGUGUGUACUGUGUAUGUAUAGUGUGUGUUUGUGUGUGUGUACUAUAAGAGUGUGUUUGUGUGGGUAUAGGCUUAUUUGUGCAUGAUUGUGUAUCUGUAUGUCAUCACUGCCUCUACGUAAAAAAAGAGACAGGGUUUAAUUGGUGUUACAGUGAAGUAUUUGGAUAUCACACUAUUGGCCACUGUGUUAGAGCUGAUAUCAGCAGCAUAUUGCAGGUACUUCCAUCCACACACCUCAUUAUGUCUCUCCUCCUCUGUCCGUAGGUUGUUGGUUUUGGUUGCGUAAUACAUCUUAAGCCUGCCCAUUAAAUAUGAAUGAACAACUGAUUUUCUCAUCCAUCUUUCAUGACUUUCAUUUGUUGAGCUAUUUGCCUCCAAAAAAUAUUGUGUUGGAUGUUCUUUUCGCGAUUUCUGAAUCAGCGUUUUCUCACAGCACCUUGUUCAGUCUACUGAAAAAAAUAAAUGUA